Molecule: ribosomal RNA, 1235 nt
Filed under: metagenome
Description: bacterial LSU rRNA
Rfam family: Bacterial large subunit ribosomal RNA
Source: RNAcentral
UGAAUACGAGAUGCUACGGCGUCGAAGCAGUCUAUGUCAUACUUCCAAGAAAAGCUUGCACUGUCAUAAACAAAUAAUGCCUGUACCAUAACCGACACAGGUGGGUAGGUAGAGUAUACUAAGGGGCGCGAGAUAACUCUCUCUAAGGAACUCGGCAAAAUGACUCCGUAACUUCGGGAGAAGGAGUGCCUUAUUUAUAAGGUUGCAAUAACAAGAUCCAAGCAACUGUUUACCAAAAACACAGGUCUCCGCUAAGUCGUAAGACGAUGUAUGGGGGCUGACGCCUGCCCAGUGCCAGAAGGUUAAAGAAGUUGGUUAGCAUCCGCGAAGCUGAUAACUGAAGCCCUGGUGAACGGCGGCCGUAACGAUAACGGUCCUAAGGUAGCGAAAUUCCUUGUCGGGUAAGUUCCGACCCGCACGAAAGGCGUAAUGAUUUGGAUACUGUCUCGGAGAGGGGCUCGGUGAAAUAGACUUGUCUGUGAAGAUGCGGACUACCUGCACCAGGACAGAAAGACCCUAUGAAGCUUUACUGUAACCUGAAAUUGAAAUUGGACUUUACUUGCGCAGUAUAGGUGGGAGGCGUUGAGAAUAUUCUUGCGGGAUUAUUGGAGCCAUCAGUGAGAUACCACUCUUGUAAUGUUAGAUUUCUAACUUUGUAUCAUUAUCUGGUCAAAGAACAGUUUCAGGCGGGCAGUUUGACUGGGGCGGUCGCCUCCUAAACGGUAACGGAGGCGCACAAAGGUUUCCUCUGAACGGGUAGAAAUCGUAUCUAGAGUGUAAAGGCAUAAGGAAGCUUGACUGUGAGACCUACAAGUCGAGCAGGGACGAAAGUCGGUCUUAGUGAUCUGACGGUGCUGAGUGGAAAGGCCGUCACUCAACGGAUAAAAGUUACUCUAAGGAUAACAGGCUGAUCUCCCCCAAGAGUUCACAUCGACGGGGAGGUUUGGCACCUCGAUGUCGGCUCAUCGCAUCCUGGGGCGGUAGUACGUCCCAAGGGUUGGGCUGUUCGCCCAUGAAAGCGGUACGCGAGCUGGGUUCAGAACGUCGUGAGACAGUUCGGUCCAUAUCCGGUGUAGGCGUUAGAAUAUUGAGAGGAGCCUUCUUUAGUACGAGAGGACCGAGAAGGACAUACCUCUGGUGUACCAGUUAUCGUGCCAACGGUAAACGCUGGGUAGCUAUGUGUGGAGUGGAUAACCGCUGAAAGCAUCUAAGUGGGAAGCCCACUUCAAGGUAAG